Pelobates cultripes (western spadefoot toad) is the source of this 82-nucleotide non-coding RNA. The record is from the annotation of a GenBank genome assembly. NCBI's taxonomy places the organism in Eukaryota, Metazoa, Chordata, Amphibia, Anura, Pelobatidae.
UUUAAAAUGUGCCAGUGUUUUUGAAUAGUUUUUUUCCAUAGUUUUUUUGUGAAAAAAACUAUUCAAAAACACUGGCACAUUU